AUUGCGACAUUUGUUUACGUUCACAUAACACACGUAAUUUACAUGUCAAAAUCAGUUAUCACAACUUUGUUUUUUAGUAAAUCAAAUUCGUUUUAUUCUAUUGGUGCAAAGGAAUAAAAAUGCUGUUUUCAAGGGAUAAGGACGACGAUGACGACUUCAUUCCAAAUCCAAAUUAUCAUUCAAAUUUGGCUUCCAUAUUUGGGAGUACGGGGAGUGAUGGCAACCCAAGUUUGACGUAUACAGCACCGAAACAGCCAAAGCGUCAGGGCAAAGGAAAUGCCAGUACAAACCUGUCUUCAAAACCAGGAAUUUCCACUUCGGCUAGUUCCUCAAGUGUUAUCUCUGUCAAAACUGUGCAGACGUUCAAAAUGGUUAACGGAUCGUACCAGAAUGAGGGUCGAGUGGGCGUGGCCCUCGUCAGUUUGGGACCAGAGGAGAGCUGUACGUACCAACUGCUGCUGUAUCGGGACAAACAUCAUCACCUGUGCAGUGCCAAAAUCACAAAAGAAUUCAAUUUCCAUGUUCAACCCAAGAACUACUGCACAUUCUAUGACAAGAAUUCUGUCAUUUGGUCCAUUCUUUUUGAAAACUCAUCAGAAAUGAUGGAGUUUAAUUUGCAGGUAGCCAUAGUAAAGUGGAAAGCUGCAGACAAGGCUCUUCCUCUGCUGUCACAGGAUCUCUGGUCUCCUCUAGUAGAGGACCCUAAGUCUUCUGCAGCAGCUGUAGAAGAUACAGUGGAACUUUCCUGCUCCCUUCACAGCAUCCUCAACAUCUCCCAGGCUCUAGAGGAUGAAUUGACAGUCUCAACAAGCGUGGAGCUGGGAGGGUGGAAGGCUGGUCUGGUCGGACUGCUUCCCAACUGCAAGCGUGUCAUCAUCAUGCAGCCUUACCUGUUGGAUGGAGAUGUGUUUCCAAAAAAGGAGUCAUACGAAUGUCCUGUUAUAUUGAAAUUAGACGUCAUCAAAGUCCGAAAGAAUCAUCCCAAUCAGCCUACUGAACAUAAAAAUGAUCCAAAUGUUAAUAUUCUCAGGGAAGAUUUGCUGAAGUCUAAGGAGAUUGAAAGACAACCAGACAGUUCCAAAGAUAGUUCGAAGCCCACCAAGGCUGAUCUGAUCACCAGGAUGGCCCGGAUGGGACAGGCUCUGCCGUUCAAGACAGCUGCUCCCACUCCUUCCGAUUCUGACGAGACUGAGGAUGACCAGUCGGCUCGCGUACACAACGCAAAUAUAGACCGUGGACUGCCCAAGGCCAGGGCUAGAGUGCUGCAUGCUCCAGUGGCAGGACCCUCCACGUUCGCACCUCCAGUCCCCGUAUCUUCCGCAGUCACACAGCAGUUACCUGCGGUUCCGUGGAGCCAGUCUCCGUACAUGAUGAGCAGUAUGUACCUCCCUCCCACACCCCAGCUUCAGUCCCCUGGAAUAGACUCACAGUCCCAGUUCCAUGUGUUCCUGUCCGAGAUACGGACCACGAACUCGGAACUAAGGAUGGGGAUCACUAGACUCACGGACAAGGUGGAAGCUCUUCAGACCAAGGUGGAAAACACCACCAAGAACUCUCCUGGAAAUCCAGAUUUUGUUGCUCUGAUGGAAAAGAUGCUUGAGAAUGAAAAGCAAGUCCAACAAAUUCUGUCUGCCGUUAAUAGUUCUCAACUGAUGGGAACAGACACAGUGUUGAGUUCACCUCCUCUCCUGAGUCCCAGCUGUGUCAGAGGUGUUCUAAUACCGACCAGUCCUAUACAUCAUUAGACGCCCAAGUGAAAGAGCUCCAAGGACAAAUAGAAUACCUGCAGGCAACCAACAAUGCACAGAAGGAUGCUAUGCAGAAUGCCAAGGUUGCCGAUAAAGACCAGGUGGCGCGGAUAGAGGUAUGGAGAGGCAG
This 1878-nucleotide unclassified non-coding RNA is filed under the name Homalodisca vitripennis (glassy-winged sharpshooter). RNAcentral's name for it is "fK506-binding protein 15, transcript variant X1". Lineage: Eukaryota; Metazoa; Arthropoda; Insecta; Hemiptera; Cicadellidae. The record is from RNAcentral.